This 17581-nucleotide long non-coding RNA is filed under the name Zea mays. RNAcentral describes it as "long non-coding RNA (ZMAY_LNC005406)". Lineage: Eukaryota; Viridiplantae; Streptophyta; Magnoliopsida; Poales; Poaceae. The record is from RNAcentral.
CCCAUUCUAGGAGGUUUUUAGGGUUUCCUAACCCUCCUUUUUUCUUUGUCUCUCUCUGCUUUCUCUAUUCGAUGGAAAACGCAUAGGGUGGUGGCGCUUGCACGCCCUGGCGACUGCUUGCGGCGGCGGUGUCCUGCGCGCCCGCGCCAACCAUCCUCCGGGGCAACGGCGACGUCUGCUCGCCUACGUGCCUAGACGGUGAGGCAGCGACAUCAGGACGCCCGUGCGCACGCGUGCCUGCACGGCGGCUGUGCGCCCUCACGCCGGCUUGCCGAACGGCGUGGCGGUGGUGCCAUCCUGCGGGGCGGCGUGGUGGUCGCAUGCCUAUUCGCCGGGCGGCGUGGCGGUCGUGCCCAUGAGUCGGAUCCACGUGGCUGCGCGCACGCGCUACGGAGCUGCAAGGCGAUGGCGCCCGCACGCAACUCUGGCUUGGUAGUGGCUGCCAGCCCACAACACCAGAGAGGCGGUGGUCUAUUCCUGCUUCGUCGUGCCUAGCUCAAGACCGGCUGCUUGCCUGCUUUCUCUUCAUGCUUGCUUUCUCUAUUAUGCAGAGGGACAACUCCUUUACGCAUGCACAGUGUACUACACACCACGUGUGGGAGAGAGGAGCAUGGAGGUGAGUGCUCAUGUUCAUCCGCUCUUCUUUUCUCUCUUUCUUUCGGAUGUUAAAUGUCUUGUUUACAUUUGAUUGAUCGUUGAUCGGUAUAUACCGACAACAAUCAUGGUAACAAGAUUUUCAGAUGCAAUAACUAACAAUAGUAGUUAGAUUCUUACCUUUUCGUGUUACUUCCGUGAACUCCUGCGUCGCGAGAGCAUUCGUGCUGAUAACUUGUUAAGAACCCUUUGCUACCGAAUGUAGUCCGAAUGCUUCUUAACUCAUAAACACAUGAGACACAAAGAUAUAGGAGGAACUGAGAUUCUUAUUCAUGUAUUCUGUUUUGGGUUCUGUUUUCUGGUUACAACAAAUGGUAGUGUCCUCCUCUAUAUAUAGUGCAAAGUUGGGGUUUCGGCUAGAUGAGCCACAUGGGCCUUCGGGGCUCAAACUGGUUUCUUAACACGUCUCUCCUCAGAUGGCGAGCAAUGCAAUUGAAUCCCACGUCUGACUCUCCUAUUAAUUUUUUUUGCACUAAUUGCAUGGUCAGGCGCAUGGUUCAGCGGACAUCGACAAAAUCAACCCACGGCUGGAUCUAAUCGUAGCACCCACUGUCGAUCCAAUGGCUGAUACUUGUUGAAAUAGCCUCACAUGCCACCGCCCCCGCCGCCUUCUUUGGAUUCUUUAAUUUAGAACUUUGUUUUGAACUUUAAAACUAAUAGUUAGCCGCUAAAAUUAGUUAGAAGAUUUAAAACGAGUCAGCUAAUAAACAAACUAAUUAUUAGUUAUACCUCUGAAAUAGCAAUUAGCUGUUAGCUGCUCCAACCCAGAUAAUCAGCUCUAGAGAUUUAGAGCACGAUCUUGACCCCUGCCUUCUUGUAGAUAAGCCCUAAAACCCUGUUUUCUCUCGCAUAGGGUUUUAAGCUCUCCAGUUUUUACGUUUUAGAACCCGAGAUCCAUGUUUUUAAUACCAGAACCCUGCAACUUUUAAACAUCUUACAAUUAUAACCUUGAAAUCUUGUUUUAUGCAUAACAUGGGCAUAUUAAAUCCUUUUAAAUAAAUCUUGAACCUACAAUCCCAUAUAAUGUGUAUAACAUUUUUAAAAUAAUGUUACUUCUUGUUGCCUAUUAUUGGUGUACUGUUCUUUCUUUUAUUAGUGCAUUGAGUGAAUGUUUGUAUCAUAUUGACGACAAUCAGUUUGUGGAGUCCAAAGGAGUUAGUAGUGUAAACCAUUUGCAUCUGUUGAUGAAGGCAAGUGUCAUCUGAUCUAUUAAUGACCUACAUUUACUUGAGAACUUACUAUUCUCACAUAACAUGCUCAACCUAAGGAUGACUAUUUUUCUAUUUUUCAUGUCCUUGUUUAACUAUGGGAAGGGCUGUGAUGUGUAGCUUUAAUGCUAGUACAUGAAUUAAUAAAUGAAUAUGAUAAGAUGAUGAAGAUAGCUUGAUCAAUGAUAUGAUGUUCCAAUAAAAUUAAAAGUGAUUUUAUAGCAACCUAGAGGCUUGAGAUGGUUUUCUCAAAUACUUCACCCUAAGGACUAGUUUGUUGAGCGAACAUCUGGGACAAUAGUGCUACCAUGAUGGUGGUGUCGGACGUUCUUAGCUGACUAACUUCAAGAACUAAAGGGUAGUUUGCUUCGCCAUCAUGCCAUAAAGGGUGUCUAGGGCAUAUUCCUCGAUCUGCCAAGGAUGGGUGCUUUUGUUAGUUGCCACCUUAGAGGGGAGUCCUAUGCUUAGGAAUUGGAGAAACCUAACAGGCGACUAUACCUUUGGGAAAUCUUUGUAAAGCCUACAUAAUAAAACUCUACCAACUCAUCUUGAAAGUGUUUAAGGGUCUGUACAAACUGAGGCAAGGGAAAUCAUGGUGAAUGGGUAAAGUGUUAUGUCGAACUGAAAUAUCAGUCGUGCUCAUGGUUAAGAGCGACUUGAUUUUCCUCUUUGAUUAGAGAUAUUGUGAUUUGGUUAUGAUGACAAAGUAAUUCUCAUAGAAGUUAUGUUUUCUUCUGUUAAUAAUUCUAGGUUGAUACUAAAACUUGUUUAAUCAAAUAAAAAACUUGUUUAUCUAAAAGCAACUGCUACUAGCCUAACUCCUCAAAAGUUAGUCCACCUUAGCCAAAUGAGGUAUUUGUUGAGUAUGUUAUGUACUCACCCUUGCUUUUCACACAAACAUCAGUUUGCCCUCAGUGCAACCCAUGCUCAAGUGAAGAAGAUGUCGAAGCGAGUCUCCAGGAGUUCCAAGACUUCGAUAAGUUUGAAUUCUAGGCCAGUGAGUCCCCCAAGUCAUAUGCUUGUGGAGGGUCGAGUUAUCUUAGUUUAAAUAGUUUGCAUCUUUUCAUGAGUAUGAUGAGAAAUGGUUGUGUUUAAAUAUUAUGGCUUCUAUUUGUUGGGAAUGAAUAUCAUAUGUAUGACAUAGACUAGGGUAAUCUAGGAACAGAUCCACUCCUCGCUUUGCUCAUCCUCGACUCCCUAAGGGAUCAGAACGUAAAAGCGCCCUAAAAAAAGGUCCGCUUUGCCCGCCCCUAGGGUCAGAACAGGCAGCCCCUGAGUUCCCCUAGUCAUAAAGUUGUACUAGAGAUAGUUUCAAAAAUGAGUAGAUGUGGACCAUACUAUAGUUGUUGGGGCGAAGGCGAAGACGCCACCCUUCGCUCGAUGCCUUCGCUGACCUCGCUGCACCAACGGAGACGAGACGACUGGCAGAUUUACCCUUCGGCCUACGCGUCGUCGGGCGAAGACCUGUGACGAGGUCGUCUCAUCUUGUGGCCUCGUCCAACAUGGAGGCCCAUGUGUGAUCCGGCCCAUUGUAACAGGCCCCGCGUGGCCGCUACGCAUUACGGGUCUAGGUUGUAAAGGUCUCCCUGUAAUUACAGUCUGUAACCCCGCUUUAUGGGAAUAUUCCGGGGAAAACCUAGGCACCUGAGGGCACAUGCGUCCUUAACACUGGACGCUGGGCACUCAGAUACCUAUAAAUACCCCCGCACAGUGCCCUUGAGAGGCUAGAUUAACAGAGCUAUUGCCAUCUCGAGCAAAAACCCUGUUUACAUUGCCUUCACUCCCCCGUUGGAUCAACUUGCCCAGGAGAGCAAGUUCCAACAUUUGGCGCCCACCGUUCGUGCUACGAAAAAACCACCCGCGAUGGCACCCAAGAGAGCUACCUCGAAGGCUGACGAGGCUGCGAAGGCAGCACUGCUGGCCGAGAAAAAGGGCAAGGCCCUCGUCGACACCACCCACCAAGAGGCUUGCGAAGACGACGCACUCAGCAAGAGGCAGCACAACGAGCAACCCACUCCCGAAGGCAUCCUCCGCACCUGUAGCUCUGGAGGACAACCACAACUUCCCCCAGGCUUCGCUCCACCAAAGGGCGCGGACGCCACCGAGGACGACGAAGUCAUCGGCGUUUCGGCAGAAGAACAGCUACAACUGCGUGCAUUGCGCAUCAAGAACCGUAACCUCCAGAAGCAAAAAGAGAUCCUCGAGGCCAAGCGCCAACGCGUGUCCGCACAAGCCAAGGUGCGACAGAUGAUACGCGACGAAGAGUAGAAGGCUCAGGAACUUGAACAAGAGAUCGCCCUCAUGCAGAGCGAAGGCCAACUCGGCCUGCAACAUGGCCCACCCCUCCAGCAGCGCGCACAAUUCGAAGACCUGUUCAUCCCUCAGCGCGGACAUGCCGUCCCACACGUAGCGGCAUUCCAAGGCGUCAACUAUCUUGACGAGCAAAGUCCCCUGGCGCCUCACCUGCAGGUGUCACCAUGGCCCGCCAACUUCAGGACAGAGACCUAUCCCAAGUACAACGGUAGCACUGACCCCGCUCAGUACAUUAUGAGCUAUCAGGUCGCCGUUGCAUCAUCCGGAGGGGACGACGCCACGAUGGCCAAGUCAUUUAUCAUUGCCCUCGAAGGCCCAGCCCUCACCUGGUACACCAGGUUGCCGCCGUUGUCCAUUGACUCCUGGAGAAGUCUCCGGGACAAAUUCUUGCUCAACUUCCAAGAGUACCGCCCAGACACCGACGCCUUGGCUGAACUUUCACUCUGCAAGUAGCUGGAAAAAGAGACUCUGUGGGAGUACUACCGCAAGUUUCUGACCCUCAAGUCACAACUGCCUUCGGUCGAUGACCAAAUCGCCAUCCACUACGCCAUCAGUGGCCUUCGGGUCGGCGUCCUUUACAACCACUGCAUCAGGGAUCCGCCCAAGAACCUUCAGGAGUUGUAUCAGCUAUUUGAAAAAUAUGCCAGAUCCGAAGAGCUCCACCAGCGCAAAGUCAAGUCUCAGAGGAAACCCAAAGACACUCCACAGUCCAGCCGCACGUGGACGAGGCCUUCGCAGCCAGACUCCGGUCAGGACGGCCGUAAUCAGCAGCGGGUGCACAACAUCGCCAACCAGCACCCCGCUGGUGAGGCCCCUCGCCGCCAGGAGUAUCCCCCAGGGCCGCGGGAGCGGAACUCGUGGUCGGGGCCGGGGACGCGCGCAACAGCCGUGCAGAUUUUACUGCCUGUUCCACGGCGAAGACUGCGCCCACCCUACCAAAGACUGCCCAGAGACGAAGGCCACCAGAGACCGGAUGGCACGGGCGCAGCGAGCCGACAACCCUAGAGUUGUCGUGCACACAUAUCAGCAACCCCCUCCGCCAUACAUCCACGGCCCCGCUCUGCAUCCACCGCACCACGCAUACCAGCACCACCAGGAGGUACAAAUCGUACCUCCCCCACCCCCACCUCCACACUAGCAACAACAAAACAUCCACCACCCCCACGCCCCAAAGCAAGAGGACUUCGCCGAUCAGCCGUAUCGCGGAGUCAUUCAUAUGAUCACUGGGGGGUCCAGCGCUGACUUCGACACAAAGCGUCAGAAGAGGGACCAUUACCGCAGCGUCAACCACGUCGCCGUCACAGGCCCAGUCGUGCAGACAAAGUGGUCCCAUGUGCCACUAACCUUCGACGCCCGAGACGUCGAUCUGCGCAGCGCACCCCAGAUCGACGCCAUGGUUAUCAACUGCAGCGUGGCAGGCUGGGAUCUGCAUAAAGUCUUAGUCGACAAUGGCAACCAGGCGGAUAUUAUCUUCCUCCAUGCCUUCGAUCGCAUGGGCAUAAGCCAUAGCCUGCUCAAGCCUUCGGACAACCCGCUGUACGGUUUCGGCGGCAAGGGCACCUUUCCGGUCGGCAAAAUAGAGUUACCUCUCCUUCGGUGUAUCACCCAAUACCCGAAGUGAGCAAAUCACAUUCGACAUCGUCGACAUGGUGUAUCCGUACAACGCCAUAAUGGGCCGGGGCUCCAUCAACAAGUUUGAGGCAGCCAUUCACGGACUUUACCUGUGCAUGAAGAUACCAGGUCCGCAAGGCGCCAUCACGGUCUACGGCAACCAGCAGGCUGCGCGUAACAUAGAACGAGACUUCGUCCCCGGGCAAAGAAACGUGCACUGCCUCACGGCCCAGCGCGAGGUCCCCGCGUCUGCCAGCCCAACUGACAAAGAACACGACAAAGCACAGCUACAGAGCAACGACGGGACCAAGACUGUCCCCCUCGACCAGGCCACGCCCAAGCAGACGGUCACCAUCAGCGAAGACCUCACUUAGCACGAUGAGGAGAAACUCCUCUGCUGCCUGUCCAAGAAUAAAGACGUCUUCGCCUGGUCCGCCCUCGACCUAGUCGGAGUCAGUCGUUCCAUCAUCGAGCAUAGUUUAGGAAUCGACCCUUCGGUGAGGCCGAAGAAACAGAGGCUGCGUAAGAUGUCAGACGAGAAGACAGAAGCCACCAAGGCCGAGGUACAUCGCCUGCUUGAGGCCAAAUUUAUCGAGCCAAUCGCCUACCCCACAUGGCUCGCCAACGUAGUAAUGGUGCAGAAGAAGAGCGGCAAGUGGCAGAUGUGCAUCGACUUGACCAGUCUUAACAAGGCCUGCCCCAAGGACAACUUCCCGCUGCCUCGGAUCGACAAAAUCGUCGAUAGUGCGGCCGGGUGCGAGGUCAUGUCACUCCUCGAUUGCUUUUCCGGCUACCAUCAAAUAUAUAUGAAGGAGGAGGACAAGGCCAGCACCAGCUUCAUAACACCCUUCGGCACGUAUUGCUUCAUCAGAAUGCCGGAGGGACUCAAGAACGCCGGGUCCACUUUCUCCCGGCUUACCAAAACGGUGCUCGAGGGGCAAGUCGGUAGAAAUAUAUUCACGUAUGUGGACGACAUCGUCGUCGCCAGCAGAAGCAAAGAGGACCAUCUUGCUGACCUCGCCGAAACGUUUGCGAACAUGCGGGACGCACGACUUCACCUAAACCCCGAAAAGUGGGUCUUCGGCGUUUGCCAGGGGAAAAUAUUGGGCUACCUGGUGUCACACCGCGGAAUCGAGGCCAACCCAACCAAAAUUCAGGCCAUCAUCAACAUGACGCCCCCGCAGUCAGCCAGAGACGUCCAAUGCCUGAUAGGCAGAUUGGCCGCCCUCAACAGAUUCAUCUCCAAAUCCGUAGAGCGAAGUCUCCCCUUCCUCAAAACUCUCCGCGGCACGAAAUACUUCACUUGGGGACCAGAGCAGGCGGUGGCCUUCGCCUCAUUGAAACAGUACCUGUCGGAAUUGGCGAUUCUUACAAGCCCCGACUCUUCGCUACCCCUGUUGCUCUAUGUUGCGGCUUCACCACAUGCGGUCAGCGCAGCACUGGUUCAAGAACAAACCGUAGAGGGCAUGAUCAGGCAGUGUCCAGUUUAUUGCAUCUCCAAAGUACUCACACCAUCAAAAUGUAAUAUGACGGAACUGGAAAAGAUUGCCUAUGCAGUUGUUAUGGCAUCGCGCAAAUUGCGCCACUAUUUCGAGGCAUUCAAGGUCCGGGUCACCUCAGAUAGGGGACUCGGCGAACUGUUUAGAAACCCGGAGGCAUCAGUCCGGAUCGCCAAAUGGGCAGCCGAACUUUCCGGCUACCACAUCACAUUUGAACCCAGGACAGCCAUCAAGUCACAAAUCCUGGCAGACUUCAUUGUCGACUGGACUGGGCAAACAACAUAGCCGGACCCGUCGACAGAAAAAGUAUGGACAAUCCAUUGCGACGGCGCAUGGUGCCAUGCGGGGGCAGGCGCCGCUGUAGUCAUUACUUCACCCACAGGGGUCAAGCACAGAUACGCAGCACGCCUCAGCUUUGCUUUGUAGUCUGACAGAUGCACUAACAACAUAGCAGAAUAUGAAGCUGUCAUCCUCGGCCUUCGCAAGUUAAGGGCCCUUGGUGUCACCACCUGCAUCAUCAGAACGGACUUCAAGGUAGUCGCCGGCCAAGUCGAGAAAGACUACGCAGCAAAGGACCCCGCACUUAUGCAGUACCUCGCAGCUAUCCGCAGCUUCGAGAGACAAUUCAAAGGUUUCACCUUACAGCACGUGGACCGUGCCAAGAAUGAGGAGGCUGACGUGUUGGCCAAGGCAGCCGCCCGAGGCGAGGCCCUGCCCUCCAACGUAUUCUACCAUGUCAUCGGUACGCCAGUCGUCCGCAGCCCAGAAGGGCUCCAAAUAACCAAUGACAGCGAGGGCCACCGCAUAGUCAACCUUAUCUUGACCGAAGACUGGCGGGCACCAAUAACCCUGUUCCUGCAGGGGUACUAUCAUCCAACCGACAUCAAUGAGGCCAAGCGCCUCAAACACCGAAGCCGGGACUUCGCACUAAUUGAAGGACAACUUUACAAGAAGGGGGUCAGUCAACCCAUGCUUAAAUGUGUCACCGAGACCGCAGGCAUCCAAAUUUUGCACGAAGUCCACAGCGGGACUUGCGGCUCUCAUGUAGGGCCCAGGGCACUAGCCGCAAAGGUAAGCCGACAGGGUUUCUACUGGCCCGCCAUGAUCUGCGCCGCAAAUCGGGUCACAAGCUCCUGCGAAGCCUGCCAGAAAUUUUCUCCACGAUCGGGAAGCCCUUCGCAGUUCACGAAGCUAAUCGCCCACACAUGGCCUCUUCAGCGCUGGGGCCUGGACAUCGUCGGGCCCUUACCCACAGCCUAGGGGAACCUCAAGUUCAUCUUCGUCGCUGUCGAAUAUUUUACCAAAUGGAUCGAGGCGAGGGCUGUAUCCACAAUAACAUCGAAGACUGCCCAGAAAUUCUUCUGGCAAAAUAUUGUUUGCCGCUUCGGAGUCCCGUCCGAACUCACAGUUGACAAUGGCAAGCAAUUUGACAGCCAAGACUUCAAGGAUUUCUGCUUCUCCAUUGGCACCAAGCUUGCCUUCGCCUCAGUAUACCACCCGCAAUCCAACGGAGUUGUGGAACGCGCAAAUGGAAAAUUUUUUACAGCUGUCAAGAAGAUGCUCCUCGACGAUAAAAAGGGCAAGUGGGCCGAUUUGUUACCUAAAGCGGUCUGGGCAUUGAACACGACCGAGUGCAGGGCGACUGGGUUCACCCCUUUCCGCCUUCUAUACGGAUCGGAGGCCAUGACCCCGCAAGAAAUAAAACACGGGUCCCCACGGACAGUCCCGUCAGCUGUCCCCGACGUGGACGAGCCCACUUCGAAGAACCUCAUCGAUGGAGACCGCGUCUUCGCCAUACAAGCUCUAAACAAAUACCAAGUCCAAACUAAAGCAUGGCGUGACCACGCAGUCAUCCCGAGGGAAUUCAGCGAAGGAGACCUCAUACUCGUCUGGACAGCUCGGACAGAGUCCUGGGGCAAGCUGGAGCCCAAGUGGGAGGGCCCUUUUAUCGUCAAGACGAAGGCGUCCCCCCAGCGCGUACAGGCUCGCAACGCCAGCCGGCGAGGACUUGGAGCAUUCUUGGAACAUUGAUAAUCUCCGCAAAUUUUUUGUUUGACUCCUCAGGGCCAGCUCGCCCUUGUAAUUCGCAAAACAAUUUUAUUCUGGCCCGCACUCUUUUCCUCCCGAGGGGUGAGGUUUUUAACGAGGCGGAGCCAUGUAAUAUACAAGCGAAAAAUUCCCCACAAAAAUCUACGUCGAAACAGGACCGCGUCGACGGUCUUCGACAUUUGACCAAUACAAAGUCACCGCGAGGGGCAGCGCUAGCUACCCUCGUGUGCGACACUCCACGCAAAAGUCGCCUAAGGGUGCAGCCGGACUAGCACAACAAGUGCGCAAAAUCGAAGUCUUCUCCGGAAGACUAUCCAUGCAAAAGCUGCCUUAGGGUGCAACCGGACUAGCACAACAAGUGCGCAAAAUCGAAGUCUUCUCCGAAAGACUAUCUGUGCAAAAGUCGCCUAAGGGUGUAGCCGGACUAGCACAACAAGUGCGCAAAAUCGAAGUCUUCUCCAGAAGACUAUCCGUGCAAAAGUUGCCUAAGGGUGCAGCCGGACUACCACAACACGUGCGCAAAACCGAAGUCUUCUUCAAAAGACUAUCCGUGCAAAAGUCGCCUAAGGGUGCAGCCGGACUAAUUCAACAAGCGCGCCAAAACGCAAGCGCAUUACAUUCAUGCACAACUCUACACCAAGAAACUAUCCGCGCACAGACCAACUACAGGCGCAACCAGACCAACAUAAUAAAUGCGCCAGACCAAGCGCGCAACGCCCCUAUAGACAUAGCCGGAUGCGCGAAGGCACACAGCUUCAUCAUACAAACUAUAGUAACAUACUUACAGGGAGGGCAUCACACCUUACAUCGGUUCAACCUUCGGAAUGAUUCCCAUCUCCCUAUAGUUAAAUAGCAUUAUCCUAAGCUCCUCACCCUCAAAAAGACUUCGCAACUCCCCCUCACCUACACUCACCCCAGCCGGCGAGGACAACAAUUCCUGCUUGCCAGCCCUGCCCACACGAAGCCGACCGCCAUCCACCUCACUCACUCUACGCUUCGCCACCGCCCUUCGCCGCCUACGCCCAGCACUCGGACCAGGCACAACUUCAGCAUCCGCACCACGCGGAGAAGUCUCCGCCACUGCCACAUCCAAGGCCGCAAAGUAAUCCAAGUAAUCAUCCGAAUACUCUUCCGUCCACUCAACCGAACUCCCAGAGUCAACAAAAUCAAAAAACUUAGAAGCAGACUCAUCCGAUUCAUUCCCAUCAUCCACGGUCGAAACCGCCACAAAAUUAGCAGUAGCGGUUGCGUGCGCAGGCCCAAAAUCUUGAACCUACGCAGCAACCAAGGUUCAGCAACAUAGACAAAAUUUUCUAACUACCCCACACCCACUAAGCCACCUGCGAAGACCCAGCCGCCGCCAUGGGAUCCUCCGCCGCCGGCUCCGCCGUCGUCUUCGGGGGAUCCUCCACCCUUGGCACAGCAGUUGGCGACGAGCCUCCGCCGGACGCGGCAGCCGUAGGAGCAGCGUGGGAGCCUUCACCAGUUUCCGGGGGCGGUGCCAGGUCGACCUCAGCCUCGGCCACCACCGGGUUGGCCUCCGCUUCGGGCCGCACUCUGUUCAGGGGUCCGAAGUCCUCCACGACCUCGGCACGCGCCGCCUACGACACAACACACCGAUUCAGCAAGCCCACACAUACCCCACAUUCAACAAACACUAAACAAAAGACAAACUUUACCUGGUCCCUCGCCCGGUCGGACCGCUCCCUCACCACCUCCCGACCGUGGGGGCCCCACAUCCGGUCAAAGAGGGCACCCGCGGAGUCCUUCACCACAGGGUCUUUGACCUUGAAAAUCUCGCGCCCAAAAUCAUCAUCACAUCGGUCGAAGACCUCAUAGUGACUGCACCCCUCGCGGGACAACGCGUUCAUCGCCCCUUCGCAGGUGACGAGGGAGGCAAAGGACAUAAAUCCCUCCACAAUGGCCGGGAGCGCCAAAAGUUCCUCCUGCAGCCACUCGAGGAAGCGAAGGCCCGCCUCCCGGUCGGGCACUUCGAAGUCAGCAGUCCGCGCGCCCAGCUCGCGGUAUGAGUCCACGAGCUGUUUGCGCGUCCACUCAACUUCCGAGCACGUAGAGGCCUCGGCCCUCUUCAUGCGGGCUUGUAGAGCGUUGUACCGCUCCUCCCAUUCCUCGGCGCGCUGGUUGGCGAGACUACCCUCCACCCGUGCCAAAUUGGCCUCCGCCUGCGCCGCCUGCACCUUGGCGAUGGCCUGGUUAGCCUCCCUCCUCUCCUCCAACAACUGGCGCCGGAGGUCCGUCCUCUCGCCCUCCAGGGCGUCCACCUUCUCUGCCAGCUUGCGGCACUUGCUGUCCGCGACCGACUUUUCCCGGACGGCGUCAGCAUGCUGCGCCCGAAGUCUCUCGACUUCGGCAGACACAUCUGCCGUAAGGGCCCCCGACACCACACGGUCGGCGAAGUCGGCCGCCUAACAGACACACGUGAGACCACAAUCCACAUGGAAGCGGUAAACAACGAAGUCCAGCUCAACUUACUUGACUCAGCCGUUGGGACGCUUCCCUCAGCCGGCGGGACAUAGUGCCCGCUUCGUCCUUGACGGCAGCGACCGCCGAAAUCUCACCACCAGCGUUGAGCGCACCACCCUUCGCCCCAGGCACCGCGGCAGACACUGUGGUCGCCACCACAGGCGGAACAACAGCAAGUUGCCCUUCGCCCGAUCCUGCAGCGUAUCACCAGUUAAAAAAACUUACUUACCAACGAGAUAAUCGUCCACACUAAUAUUGGUGCCGAAGUCGGGAACACGCUUCCCCGGCGAAGGCAAUUCCCGGACCUUCGCAGCUCCGGCCGUGGCAGACUUGGUGUCGCCGGCUCCGGCCGCCUUCGCGCCCUCCAGCACCUUGCUGGACCCAGGGGUGGCUGGCUUCGCCGCCAGCGUCGGCUAGCUACUGCCGGGGGCGGUAGCCUUCGCAGUCCCCCGAGCCCUCUUCGGCCUAGCCUCGGGAAGCCUGAUGAUCGCCCGACGCUUCUGCGCAGCUUCCUGGCGAUCCUUGUUCAUCACUGCCGACACAACAGCAGCAAUAUUCCGUCCGUAAGGAAAUACUCUCAGGUCACGAGCCAUGCGAGAUGUAAAAGAGUCUUCGCCGGCCGCGCGGGGGAUAGGAACGUUCUUAGGCCACCGACCCCCGGUAACCUCCAGCAUCCGCGCUGAAGACUCCCGAAGCUCGGGCGAAGACAUCCUUCCCCUGGGGGCCGCGCAUGUCCCCAUCAACUCCAUAGCAAAACUAUCGGAGACCCCCAGUCCUCCCAUCGCAGUACCUAGCUUCCUCUUCUUAGUGGAUGGGGCGACCGCCGGCGCGGAGUCGUCUUCGGUCUCAGCCGCCAUUUUUUUCCCGCGGCGGUCGACAACGUCUUGCCCGGGAUAACCUCCAUACGGCAAACGGUUCAACUCGAAGACCCUAUUCAAGCGGUCGUUGGGUCCGCGUAUAUCCCAACUCCGCUGGGCCUCCGUCUUUGGCACGUAACGACCAACAAUCCGCACCGCCCCAUCCUCUGCCUCACGCACGAAUGCGGCGGGAUCCCGGCCAUGCAAAUCCAGUGCGAAGGCAGGACUCCGCACUAGCAUCCCACCGCGGGAAGGCAUCUGGCGAGGGCAUACUUCGCCCACCGCCCAGCCACGCGCCAAGGGCCAUACUCCAUACCUGACAAACUCCUCCACUAGAUCGCGUCCGCUACUCAUGCGGGCCGCGCACCGAAGGGCCUCUUCAUUUUCAUCCUCCUCUACUACCUCAAACUGCUGGUACACUGAGUAAUAAUGCGAACACAUCUCGGCCACGGGGAGCCCCGGAUGGUCUUCGACUGUGGCUUCGGCAACGUAGAACCAAAAUUCCCACCAGUUGCCCCAUUUAUUGCGGGCGCGGAGAACCAACUCAACAACUUCCAUCGAAGUCUUGUCGGUCUUCGGCGUAAACGUGCAAGAUCCAAAUUGUGCAAUCUUAUUUCUGAUUUUCCUUUUCUACCAAUGCAGACAAUAAUGCUUCGCGAAGACUUCGACCGAGGGCUGCCCGCCGUACGAAGUCGUUGCCCAGACAUAUUUUGCCAAGGCCACCACGACAUUCGGCGUCAGCUGGUGGACCUGGACGUCGAAUCUACGCAGAACUUCUCCCACAAAUCGAUGCGCGGGCAGACGAAGGCCAGCGGCGGAAAAAGCCUCGAAGACGACCAACUCGCCUUUCGGCUCGGGGACCUCCUCUGUCCCCAGGACACGUGCCACUCCACCGCCGAAAUACCCAAGCUGCUGCAUGUCUUGCACAUGGAUCGAGGACAUCCGCGACACACCGAACUCCACUGUGUUGCCGGCGCGCAACUCCUCCGCCGCCACAUUGCUCAGCGUCUCCUCGGACGACGCGCCGGCCGGUGGUGUAUCGGCAACAGAAGAGGAAGAGGACGGCAUCGCUAUGUACCGUUGGCGGCGGCGGGCGGUCUGCUUCACAUGGGCCAGAUCUCCGACGAGCAAGAGCAAGGAGGGCAGACGAGCAGCGAGCGGUUUGAGAAGGAAGUUAGGGUUUUCGCGGAGCACGGAAAGAUAAAGUUCAAAACGGGCCGCCGCCGCCCCCCUUUUAUACACAGGGCGCGGCGCUUCGGGAAACCCGCAAUUCAACAGUACGGCGUCAAUCAACGGUCACGUCAAAAACCUCCGCGGAACCACUUCGAGUGAGGGCAGCGUCUACACCAUCUAGCGAUGUCUUCGGCACCAGAUGACUUAGUCUAACUGGUCCCUCGGAGGGCAAAUGUUGGGGCGAAGGCGAAGACGCCACCCUUUGCUCGAUGCCUUCGCUGACCUCGCUGCACCAACGGAGACGAGACGACUGGCAGAUUUACCCUUCGGCCUACGCGUCGCCGGGCGAAGACCUGUGACGAGGUCGUCUCAUCUUGUGGCCUCAUCCAACAUGGAGGCCCAUGUGUGAUCCGACCCAUUGUAAUAGGCCCCGCGUGGCCGCUGCGCAUUACGGGCCUAGGUUGUAAAGGUCUCCCUGUAAUUACAGUCUGUAACCCCGCUUUAUGGGAAUAUUCCGGGGAAAACCUAGGCGCCUGAGGGCACAUGCGUCCUUAACACUGGACGCUGGGCACUCAGAUACCUAUAAAUACCCCUGCACAGUGCCCUUGAGAGGCUAGAUUAACAGAGCUAUUGCCAUCUCGAGCAAAAACCCUGUUUACAUUGCCUUCACUCCCCCGUUGGAUCAACUUGCCCAGGAGAGCAAGUUCCAACAAUAGUACAGACAUGUGAUUGAAUGAUAGGACAUGAGGAGAUGUGCCUGAACAAAGGUGUCACCUAUCAUGGUACAUGCACUAACACCAGACCAACCACUCCCUUGCCACAAAUUUAACAAAGGAUGAUAGGAAAUCGGUCAUGAGAGAAGACAACACAUAAUGGUGGCCAAGAUGUUGCUAUAGGACCCCGAAAGAAGAAGGAAGAGUCAACUACAGAAGUUCACUCGUCAGCAAGAACAUCGAAGGACAUGAAGCGUACGAUAAAACCUGACCCUAUUGGAUUCAUGUAAUAGGCUCCCAUCUACCUUGACCUAUAAAAGUAAGAGGGGAGUCUCAAUCUAGGAAAUGAGCAACACGAGCACAAUAGUAGCCUGUACUUGUAGUCCACGAAGUACCUCGCACCACCGACUGAGACUUGGACAUCCAACCCUCCCUCAACUCCAUUUAUAAUUUGCCCCCAGUGUAAAACGAGGGUAGGGUAUACGAGAUACUUGACUAGACGAAGCGACAUUCGGCCAAACCAAACUAGUGUAAAAAUCUUGUCUCCCACGGUCACCAUAUACACUAGAUGGUCGAAGUACUUAGAAUCACUAGCUGGUGUUUUUAGAAAACCUACAAUAGGCACGCUAAGUAGAGGGUCCUUUCAGGUGUCACAACAUAAGUUCCACCACAUGGUCAUGAAUGGCCACCCACCCUGUUUGUUGAGUUCGAGGCACAAGCAUGCGUUUUAGCACUCUUGACUUCGUGUAACACCCUGAAUUUGGUGUUAUAAAAUUUCUUUGUAAUUAUCACCCAAAUUCAUGUAUUACUCUUCUCUCUCUCACUCUAGGUCUUAUCUCUCUCUAGAUUCUCUCUCCCUUUUUCCCUUUUAAGUAGAAAUAGCUUAAGGUUAGGGGGAUUUAAUUAUUUAUUUUUGCCAAAACAUUUAUGAGUCAUGACAUGUUGCAUCAUGCUGAGCUUAAAAUAUUCUUUGAAGUGUUGCACAUGUUUGAAUUUAUUUGAAUUUGAAACCUAAUUUGAAUUUGGAAUUGAAAACCCUAUAGAAAAGAAAUAGAAAAGGAAUUAGAAAAUUCAGAGAAAAAGAAAAAGAGAAAGCAGCCCAAACCAGCCCAGCUCGGCCCAGCCAGGCCGUGCGCUCGCACCGCAUGACAUGCGGACCCCGCCUAUCAGCGACAGCCCUCUCUCCCGCGCGCCCUCCCUCUCUCGCUCGCUGCCUAGUGGGGCCGAUCUGUCGGCGCCAGUUUUCUUCACCCGCGCGGUUCCCCUCUCUCUCUCUGUCUCGCGGGCCCGGUUCGCCAGUUGCUGAGCCAUUGCCCCGUGCAUCCCCUUUUAUCUCUCUGCGCCGUGGGCCUGCCCUGUCAGCUCCGCCCUCCCUGCGCCCAUCGUGGACCGGUGAGUGCGCACUCGCGCACGUCGCCGGAUUUCUUGGCCACAACGCCCACACAUGCGCCCAGCUCCCUUCUUAGAGCCCCACCAGCGCCCCGCACUCGACCCCCCCGCCACAUUUCACGCAGCUCCGCCCUCUCUCACGCUCUGCCCACGCCGCCAGCAGCCGCCGGAGACCCGCGCCCGCGUUCCCAACCAUCCAGCUCGUCGGAGACCGCGCUAAGCCUCCCCGAGCUCCGCCCUGAGGUGAGACACCUGUCCCCUGCCCAAUUUUUCCUGUUGCACUCUGUGCUCGGCCAAUUUUGGCUUCGCCGGUGCUCGGCCGCGAUGGACCACCGUGCUCGCGCGGUGGCCGGUCGAUUUACCCCGGUCGAGUUCCCCGGCGUUAGUCCCUAAGGUGCCUCUGCUGAAGCUAGCCCAAACAUUAGCGCGCCUUAAGCCCCCUCCCCAUGACCGGAAUGCCUCACCAGAAUUACUCCAGCCCGCCCAAGACCUUCCCUCCGCUGUUCUCCCCCCUCUGCAGGCGGAUUCGUGGCCUCUUCCCCGCCAUUGAGUUCACCGUGGUGUUCUCUCCCUCUCUGCCCAACUCCGGUGACCCCAGAGCCACCCUAGCUCGCGCCUUCUUCAACUCCGGAGACCUCACCGCCGCGGAGAAGAGUAGCACCGCCCGCAGUCGUUCACCCCUCCACGAUCUGAUCCCCUCCGUCCGAUCUUCAUCGCACAUCCCAGAUCACGGAUAACGCUUCGCGCACGCGUGCCUGACACCCUGGCCCGCUUGUCAACGCCCAAGCUCCCUGGCACUGGGCCCGCUCGGUCAGUGCGCCCUCCCCUCUGUCGCUGACGCCCCUGGCCUACCUGUUAGUGCACGCCCGUCCCCCCGCGCGCGCCCUCGGCCGCAGAUCUAAUCUCAGCCGUUAGUUUUAGAUCUGACGGUUAGAUUCACCCGAUGCCCCUUUCGUGUGGCUGUUUUAUUAAAGAGAUCCUCGGUUUAUUGGAAAUCAACCUGCCGUCCCAGAUUUUCGCGUGCAGGCCCUGUAUUCUUACAGAUUGAACCCUGGACUUUUAAAUAUUCAUAGAAUUAGACCUAAUUUCAUAUUUUGAAUUCCCAAACUUGUUUAUUUCAUAACUUUUGCAUAUGAACUCCAAAUUUAGUGAUUCAAAUUGCAAAAUGUUCAUAGAAUUAUUCUCUGUCUAAAUAAAAUAGUUUCAUUUACUGUCUGCACAUUCUAAUUUCUAUGAUUAAGUAUGCACUAAUGUAGAUGUAGAUUUAUUUAUUUAAUAAAAUAAAUAAAAGGAAAACCUUAUGGAUUUAAACAUGUUUAAGGUGGUGAGAUUAAUAAUGUGUAUUACAUGAGUUCACCUCUGUUCUAAUUUAUUAGGUCACAAAUAAAAUAAAUUGAACUAUGAUUAUGUACUUAUAAGUAACACUUAGGGAAAUAAUAAUCUAUUUCCAAAUGAAGUUAAUUUAUAUUAUAGUUCAUGUUAUACUUUGAAUUCAUUAUCCCUUAUGUAGUAUUGUGUCUUUUUAAGAUGUGUUCCAAUGUUUAUACAUGUUUGGUGUGAUGUUCAUUUGUACUUUCCAAAUGUAUUGAAUGCAUGCUCGCUUUAUUUAGACAACGAGCAGUCCGAGGUUC